CUACGGGGUGCUGCAGUGAGGAAUAUUGCACAAUGGGGGGAACCCUGAUGCAGCAACGCCGCGUGGAGGAUGACGCAUUUCGGUGUGUAAACUCCUUUUAUAUGUCAAGAAAAUGACGGUAGCAUAUGAAUAAGCACCGGCUAACUCCGUGCCAGCAGCCGCGGUAAUAGGAGGGUGCAAGCGUUACUCGGAAUCACUGGGCGUAAAGGACGCGUAGGCGGGUUGGAAAGUCAGGUGUGAAAUCCCACAGCUUAACUGUAGAACUGCACUUGAAACUUCUAAUCUAGAGUAUGGGAGGGGGAGAUGGAAUUAGUGGUGUAGGGGUAAAAUCCGUAGAUAUCACUAGGAAUACCUAAAGCGAAGGCGAUCUCCUGGAACAUUACUGACGCUAAGGCGUGAAAGCGUGGGGAGCAAACAGGAUUAGAUACCCCAGUAGUC
This 438-nucleotide ribosomal RNA is filed under the name uncultured bacterium. RNAcentral describes it as "partial 16S ribosomal RNA". It matches the Rfam family "Bacterial small subunit ribosomal RNA", at positions 339 to 795 of the family's 1533-position model. The record is from RNAcentral.